GAUGAACGCUGGCGGCGUGCCUAAUACAUGCAAGUCGAGCGAACAGACGAGGAGCUUGCUCCUCUGACGUUAGCGGCGGACGGGUGAGUACCACGUGGAUAACCUACCUAUAAGACUGGGAUAACUUCGGGAAACCGGAGCUAAUACCGGAUAAUAUAUUGAACCGCAUGGUUCAAUAGUGAAAGCCGGUUUUGCUGUCACUUAUAGAUGGAUCCGCGCCGCAUUAGCUAGUUGGUAAGGUAACGGCUUACCAAGGCGACGAUGCGUAGCCGACCUGAGAGGAUGAUCAGCCACACUGGAACUGAGACACGGUCCAGACUCCUACGGGAGGCAGCAGUAGGGAAUAUUCCGCAAUGGGCGAAAGCCUGACGGAGCAACGCCGCGUGAGUGAUGAAGGUCUUCGGAUCGUAAAACUCUGUUAUUAGGGAAGAACAAAUGUGUAAGUAACUAUGCACGUCUUGACGGUACCUAAUCAGAAAGCCACGGCUAACUACGUG
RNAcentral lists this ribosomal RNA (497 nucleotides) under uncultured bacterium. RNAcentral describes it as "partial 16S ribosomal RNA". It matches the Rfam family "Bacterial small subunit ribosomal RNA", at positions 28 to 507 of the family's 1533-position model. The record is from RNAcentral.